This 274-nucleotide unclassified non-coding RNA is filed under the name Bombus terrestris (buff-tailed bumblebee). Its description in RNAcentral is "misc RNA ENSBTSG00005035222.1". The record is from RNAcentral. Lineage: Eukaryota; Metazoa; Arthropoda; Insecta; Hymenoptera; Apidae.
GUUUGUAUCAAAAUUAAAUUUUUCGAUUGCGUGCAAGUUUCCUAUUAAAAGUCAAUUACUUAUGAGGUUGCAUUACAAAUUGUCAGUUAAAUUGUGUUUUAUAAAUGUUUUACGAAAAGAAAUUGAAAGGGCUGAACUUUACUAUAGUAAUUUUGGUCUAAUAUUGAUAGUAUGGGUCGGUCACUGAUCAGACACGAUCUCACCAUUGGAUUGGGGUUGGAAAAGCAACUCUUUCAGCUACAAUGGAUAAUUCAGGAGAUUAUUUACCGACCGG